RNAcentral lists this ribosomal RNA (1020 nucleotides) under Triticum aestivum (bread wheat). Its description in RNAcentral is "partial small subunit ribosomal RNA". The record is from RNAcentral. Lineage: Eukaryota; Viridiplantae; Streptophyta; Magnoliopsida; Poales; Poaceae.
AUGAUCAUGAGGCCGCGUGGGCUUCCGGCGGCGGCGGCCAGGCUCCGGCCGCACCUCCCGCGCGUCACCGCCUUCCUCAUCGUCUUCUCCGUCGGGUACUCGCUCGGCAUCGUCUCGUCGUCCGCCCGCCCGUCCACGCCCAAGCCGUCGCAGACCGUCAUACGGCCGCACGCCGCGCACCUCACCGCGGCCUCCUCGGCCGGCGUCACGGCCUGGUCGAACGGCACGGGCGCGGGCGCGAGCGCGAGCUACCCGCGGUCGCCGCCGCACGACCUGUUCCGGUUCGGGGACAAGUGCGGGGAGCCGGUGCCGGCCGAGGACGUGGUGAAGACGCUUCUUGACAAGCUGUUCGACGGCGAGAGCCCGUACGCGAGCUUCCCGCCGGCGCACACGGCCGCGCUGCUCCACCCUGCGGCGGCGCGGCCGCGCGGGUGGGGGUCGACGGGGGCGGUGUUCGCGGACCUCAUCGAGGAGGUGCGCCCCGACGUGAUCGUGGAGCUGGGCGCCUUCCUGGGCGCCUCGGCGCUCCACAUGGCGGCCGUGGCCCGGAACCUGUCGCUGUCCCCGGCCAUCCUCUGCGUGGACGACUUCCGCGGCUGGCCGGCCUUCCGCGGCCGCUUCCGCCGCGACGUCCCGCAGCAGCGGCACGGCGACGCGCUGCUGCUGCCGCAGUUCAUGGCCAACGUGCUGGCGGCGGGGCCCGAGGCCGCGGCGGCGGUGCUGCCGCUGCCCUUCUCCACGGCGUCCACGCUCGGGGCGCUGUGCCGGUGGGGCGUGUACGCGGACCUCAUCGAGGUGGACGCGGGCCACGACUUCCACUCGGCGUGGGCGGACAUCAACCUGGCGUGGGCCGUGCUGCGCCCCGGCGGCGUCAUGUUCGGCCACGACUACUUCACGGCCGCCGACGACCGCGGCGUCCGGCGCGCCGUGACGCUGUUCGCCAGGGUGAAGGGCCUCACCGUGCGGCCCCACGGCCAGCACUGGAUCCUCUCCCCGAAGCCGCGCAGCGACGGCCGGUGA